Molecule: long non-coding RNA, 1013 nt
Organism: Acanthaster planci (crown-of-thorns starfish)
Lineage: Eukaryota; Metazoa; Echinodermata; Asteroidea; Valvatida; Acanthasteridae
Source: RefSeq, a predicted model, not a curated record
CGAAUCUGCUUGCCUUGAGAAGGUACUCAGUUACCGAAAGCUCAGCAAUCACAUAUUCCAGAGCACUGAUUUUAUAUUAUUCUUGUCAAUAUGUAGUUUUGAUGUGCGUGUACGCAGCUCGGAAUCUCGUACGCUGAAUUGUUGCACGCGCACACUGUACGAAUUGCAUUGGAGAACGGCUGAAAACAGUCCAGAACAAUGGCAAGAAUUAAAGUUACCUCCGACUUUAUUUUCCCGUUUUUGUCUUUGGUGGUGAUAUGUCGAUUUUUUUCCCACCAGCUAAGGAGAUAAGGACGCAUAGGAGUUUACGGACUUGAAAUUGGCUCCUUGGAAAAGGGCCACCGUACUUUUCCCACUUGUCAGACGUCCAGGACACGGAGAAGAAUUCGUACCUGAGCGGAAGAAAGCCCGUACUCUUUGUUACUGGUGUUCUUAUUUAUCAUGGGCAAGUGCAGUUUGUGAGGAUGCCGCUCUCUUUCCUUCACUUCAGUUUAGUUAAUUUUUGUGUGUGUUGGAUUAAUUUGCGCAGCAUUCUAUGUUUCUCCACAAGUUUGAGUGAUUUGCGCACCUUGUGGACAAAAAGUAGUCGCUCUCAAUCAUAUAUUCUCUUGCUGUUAAUUAAUUCUUUCCAGAGAUAGUUAGUUGUAGUUUUCUGUGGUUUUUAUGCUUGUAUAAGUAGAGGUUUGUUGUGAGUGUAAUUAUUUUUGUUGCAAUGUAAUUUGUUUACUCUUUUUAUUUUUUCAGAAACAGUGUUGUAUUUGACUUUCGUCUUUGUUUUUAGCAUUCUAUAUAAAUAAAACAUUAACAAACUUGUUCACGGUUUUCCUCGUUAAUUGUAAGAUCAGUAUUUUUGUUUUCGUGAUACAUUUAAUUUUACAAUGACGUUACUAGAAACAUCAGGUGUCGCACGAAAUAGAAACCUGGCCACUGCCCACAGUAUCCACUCGACUACAAAGGGAAUACGUGUUCUCGCUGAAAAAUUCAUAACUGGAGUACUCGCUGCUGCAUUACGA